RNAcentral lists this ribosomal RNA (497 nucleotides) under uncultured bacterium. Its description in RNAcentral is "partial 16S ribosomal RNA". It matches the Rfam family "Bacterial small subunit ribosomal RNA", at positions 28 to 507 of the family's 1533-position model. The record is from RNAcentral.
GAUGAACGCUGGCGGCGUGCCUAAUACAUGCAAGUCGAGCGAACGGACGAGAAGCUUGCUUCUCUGAUGUUAGCGGCGGACGGGUGAGUAACACGUGGAUAACCUACCUAUAAGACUGGGAUAACUUCGGGAAACCGGAGCUAAUACCGGAUAAUAUUUUGAACCGCAUGGUUCAAAAGUGAAAGACGGUCUUGCUGUCACUUAUAGAUGGAUCCGCGCUGCAUUAGCUAGUUGGUAAGGUAACGGCUUACCAAGGCAACGAUGCAUAGCCGACCUGAGAGGGUGAUAGGCCACACUAGAACUGAGACACGGUCCAGACUCCUACGGGAGGCAGCAGUAGGGAAUCUUCCGCAAUGGGCGAAAGCCUGACGGAGCAACGCCGCGUGAGUGAUGAAGGUCUUCGGAUCGUAAAACUCUGUUAUUAGGGAAGAACAUAUGUGUAAGUAACUGUGCACAUCGUGACGGUACCUAAUCAGAAAGCCACGGCUAACUACGUG